Alosa alosa (allis shad) is the source of this 923-nucleotide long non-coding RNA. RefSeq lists it as uncharacterized. NCBI's taxonomy places the organism in Eukaryota, Metazoa, Chordata, Actinopteri, Clupeiformes, Clupeidae. The transcript is spliced from 3 exons. The record is from RefSeq and is a predicted model, not a curated record.
UCGGUUCCUGUUUGAUGUAAAACUGUCCUGAAGGUCAUUGUAUAGUUGUAUGUGUAGUUGCUAGGCAACAGCCUGUUUAUGUACAUCUCCAGGGGUGCAUCACUUACAGACUGUAUGCUACCACAGCCAUGCAUUUCAGUGGAUUACAGUGCUUACUCACUGUGGGUCCAACAGGAAGUCCCUGUGGUUUCCAUAGAAACCACAGGGCACCUGCUACACCAACAAGUCGUCGGUAUUUAGGCUAAGGUUAGCCUCGUCCCCUCUUUCAUUAACACCACACUACACACACACACACACUUACACAAACACCAUAUCCCUGCUGAAGUGCCGCCAGUGCUUUGCCAGACCAGAAGCUGAACAAGGUGUGCCAGAGAAUGGGCUGCAACUCAAGCCGUGGGGCCCAGGCUGUGGACCCGGCCAAGAAGCCCGAGGAGAGGCCGAGCUCAGCCAACUCGAGCAAGGAGGACUCGACCCCGGAUGACUCGGAGCCAACAGUAGUUGAAGCAGCCAAGGAGGAUGCUGGGGAGGAAUCUAGUUGACCGGACGUUAGCCAGUGGCCUGGGCUGGCCCACAGCCCACAGUUUCUAUGCAGGUUGCCCUGAGUGAUGUUGAUGUGGUGACACUGCGGAAGAAACAAGUGUGACUGGUCGUCUAUUGUCGGCUUCCUUUUCAGAAGGGUGCAGCAAAACCACCUCAACAAUGGGCAUUUAGCCAUUGGUUAAAAAUUAGACAGCCAGUAGGCCUGUGUAUAUUAUAAUUCCUUUAAUAUGUCACCACUGUAAGAAUCAUACUGUAGAAAUGUCCCAAAAACGUCUUCAGUGACAGCCAUGCAAUGUUAAGCCUUUUUCAGAAUAGUUACUUGAGUAAUGUACAGGUUCAUCUGUUUUUUAUAUAAGAAAUUAAAUGCUGUUAUUAAAACACAA